GCAGUCGAACGAGUUCUCGUUGAUGAUCGGUGCUUGCACCGAGAUUCAACAUGGAACGAGUGGCGGACGGGUGAGUAACACGUGGGUAACCUGCCCUUAAGUGGGGGAUAACAUUUGGAAACAGAUGCUAAUACCGCAUAGAUCCAAGAACCGCAUGGUUCUUGGCUGAAAGAUGGCGUAAGCUAUCGCUUUUGGAUGGACCCGCGGCGUAUUAGCUAGUUGGUGAGGUAAUGGCUCACCAAGGCGAUGAUACGUAGCCGAACUGAGAGGUUGAUCGGCCACAUUGGGACUGAGACACGGCCCAAACUCCUACGGGAGGCAGCAGUAGGGAAUCUUCCACAAUGGACGCAAGUCUGAUGGAGCAACGCCGCGUGAGUGAAGAAGGCUUUCGGGUCGUAAAACUCUGUUGUUGGAGAAGAAUGGUCGGCAGAGUAACUGUUGUCGGCGUGACGGUAUCCAACCAGAAAGCCACGGCUAACUACGUGCCAGCAGCCGCGGUAAUACGUAGGUGGCAAGCGUUAUCCGGAUUUAUUGGGCGUAAAGCGAGCGCAGGCGGUUUUUUAAGUCUGAUGUGAAAGCCCUCGGCUUAACCGAGGAAGCGCAUCGGAAACUGGGAAACUUGAGUGCAGAAGAGGACAGUGGAACUCCAUGUGU
Molecule: ribosomal RNA, 654 nt
Filed under: Lacticaseibacillus paracasei subsp. paracasei
Lineage: Bacteria; Bacillati; Bacillota; Bacilli; Lactobacillales; Lactobacillaceae
Description: bacterial SSU rRNA
Rfam family: Bacterial small subunit ribosomal RNA
Source: RNAcentral